Molecule: long non-coding RNA, 294 nt
Filed under: Rattus norvegicus (Norway rat)
Lineage: Eukaryota; Metazoa; Chordata; Mammalia; Rodentia; Muridae
Description: long non-coding RNA NONRATT032533
Source: RNAcentral
CGGAGAUGGCGUUAAGCGCAUCCCGCCCCCGACGCGGAGAAAUGACGUCACUCGAACCAGGGAGCGCCGCCUACCUUACAGAGGAGGUAACUGGCUGCCUGCCCAUCAUGCCCAGCGCCCCCCUUUGGUGGGAAAAUGACCGCCUAUCCGUCUGAAUCAGUCUAUACCCUUCGGGGAGUAAUUAACCUGCAGUCCGUUGACUACAGACACCAAGGGCUCCUUAAGGCGCCAAGGCACUCACAGGACAACCAUCUCAUAACAAAUUCCAUCUACUCCCUGAUAAGACAACUCUAA